This 506-nucleotide ribosomal RNA is filed under the name uncultured bacterium. Its description in RNAcentral is "partial 16S ribosomal RNA". It matches the Rfam family "Bacterial small subunit ribosomal RNA", at positions 30 to 523 of the family's 1533-position model. The record is from RNAcentral.
AUUGAACGCUGGCGGCAGGCCUAACACAUGCAAGUCGAGCGGCAGCGGGAAGUAGCUUGCUACUUUGCCGGCGAGCGGCGGACGGGUGAGUAAUGUCUGGGAAACUGCCUGAUGGAGGGGGAUAACUACUGGAAACGGUAGCUAAUACCGCAUAACGUCGCAAGACCAAAGAGGGGGACCUUCGGGCCUCUUGCCAUCAGAUGUGCCCAGAUGGGAUUAGCUAGUAGGUGGGGUAACGGCUCACCUAGGCGACGAUCCCUAGCUGGUCUGAGAGGAUGACCAGCCACACUGGAGCGGAGACUCGGUCCAGACUCCUACGGGAGGCAGCAGUGGGGAAUAUUGAACAAUGGGCGCAGGCCUGAUGCAGCCAUGCCGCGUGUAUGAAGAAGGCCUUCGGGUUGUAAAGUACUUUCAGCGGGGAGGAAGGCGAUAAGGUUAAUACCUUUACUCAUUGACGUUACCCGCAGAAGAAGCACCGGCUAACUCCGUGCCAGCCGCCGCCGUAA